RNAcentral lists this transfer RNA (71 nucleotides) under Anoxybacillus flavithermus. It matches the Rfam family "tRNA". Rfam says of the family: Transfer RNA (tRNA) molecules are approximately 80 nucleotides in length. Lineage: Bacteria; Bacillati; Bacillota; Bacilli; Caryophanales; Anoxybacillaceae. The record is from Rfam by way of RNAcentral. RNAcentral also lists the same sequence under 2 other names.
GGUGGUAUAGCCAAGAGGUAAGGCAGAAGUCUGCAAAACCUUGGUCCCCGGUUCGAAUCCGGGUACCACCU